AUAAACACCUCAAGGAAUAAAACAGAGAUUAAUGUUUUUCGUCCUUAGAAUCAGAAGAUUGUGGAAAAGUUGCAUGCCUUAAUCUGCUAGCUAUGCUCUUUUGAGACAGCCUCAGCACUCUUAGCUCUCCUUGUUGCAAGGGCACACCAGCAAGCUCAUGUCUAACUUACUGUCCAACAAAGAUCUCUGAAGAUCCUUGUGCUAAAUCUGCUUGGUAAGCACAAGUGUAUUAUUCUAAACCAUUAGUGCUAAACAUUCUUACUCAUACUUCCAUUCGGGCAACUAAAGUGGCAAUCAUCCAUGUCACUAAAGAAAGGAGAAAUUGAGGACAGUAGGAAAAAUGAAAAGGUGAUACACUGAAUAAUCUGGCAAAUUCAGUCAGUGAUUCUACAACAUGGAGUUUAGACAGACCAAUGACAAUUUAGCCAUCUGCUAUGCAGUUCUUAUCCUGGUCAAAUUGUAGAGAUUUCCUUCUAUUCUGGAAAGCAGAAUGGAUAUGUGGGAGGAUGUAUUUCAUUUCAGCCCAAUUGCAAGAGAACUACCGCAAGAUGUGAAAGCACCCAAGGAAAUACAGUCUCCUGCUAGCCUGGCAUGUCAUGUUGCAGAACAGCUAAAUUGGUCAGAGGAAUUGUGUCCUAUUUCUGUCUAGAAAGGAAGACUAGAGAAAUCGAUCAAGGCAGCAUUUUUUCCUGACAUGUUUUUCUUGGGAUAAUUUGAACACAACCAGGUGAGGUAGAGCUGCUGGUUCCAGUCCAGCUGGGAGGAUCUUAAAAGCUGCCCUGAGAUUAUCUGGUGCCCUUUAUAAAGGUCUGAAAAGUUUUCCCCUUCCUUGCUCUUCUCCAGCACACCUGAAGAUGCAGCAGCAGGUUUGUGUUCAACUCACUCCCUGCUGUUGGCAGGACUGUCCCUGUCCUUUCUUCUACAGUGUCCCUGAGCUGUGGAAAGGGAGACAAAAAAAUAUCUAAACAUUUAUAUACAAAUUUGCAUAAGCAUAAAUGACUGCAUGCUACAUUUGGGCCGACAUCCAUGUAGUAGUAAACUUCCAUAAGGGAAAACCAAGCAGGUUUGUACUAUCAUUGGGUCACUGCUGAGGAUGAAAAUGCAAGGCCAACUCUUCUUCCCAGUCCAGACUCCAGAGGUCCUCUGCUUAAAAGAUAACAAGAUACCUAUUACAACAUAAUCUUAAUUCCCUUCAUGCUAGUCAUAUUCAUAAAUACAUAUAAUUUAUCUAACUUUUCUUGGAUCUUAUGUAGAUUUCAUGUGUGAUUUUUUGACUGGACUGCAAAAUCUUUAUAGUCCUGAGAUUAGAUUAGAUUUUGCCUGUUUUCCUUACAGCACUCCAGAUGUGCCUCACCAGGGCUGAGCAGAGGGUCAGGAUCACCUCCCCCAACCUGCUGGCUAUGCUCCUCCUAUUCCUCCGGAUCCCAUUGCCCUUCUUGGCCCCAGGACACACUGCUGGCUCAUGGACAGCUUGUUGUCCACCAGGAACCCCAGGUCCUUCUCCACAGAGCUGCUUCCCAGCAGGUCACCCCCAGCCUGUGCUGGUGCCUGGGGUUGUUCCUCUGCAGGUGCAGGAUCCUGCACUUGUCUCUGUUGAAUUUCAGGUGUUUCUUCUCUGCCCAUCCCUCCAGCCUGUCCAGGUCUCACUGGAUGGCAGCCCAGCCCUCUGGGGCAUUGGUCACUCCUCCUGGCUCUGUGUGUCAGGGAACUCACUGAGGGUACACUCUGUCCCUGCCUCCAGGUCACUGAUGAAUAAGUGAACAAACCUGAACCCAGAACUGACCCUGAGGAACCCCCCAGUACUCCCUGUGUCACUGCUCACAGCUCUCUGAGCUCAGUCAGUUCCCAAUUCACCUCACUGUCCUCUCAGCUAACCCACACUUCCUGAGUUACCUGUGAGCAUGUAGGGGAAACAGCGUCAAAAACCUCGCUGCAGUCAAGAUGUCUCCACUGCUCGCUUCCCCCUGUCCACGCAAACCAUAUGUCAUUUUUAACAAAGCCUUCAUUCAGAGACUUUUUUCCUGAUUUGAAACCAAAUUAGAAAAAACUCAUGAGAAACGUAUGGAACUGUUUGAUAGCUGUUUUGUAUUGCACAUUUCUAUUCCUGUCCAGCUCUGUUCUGCUCCAGAGGAUUUCUCAUGCCUUGAUCUGUACAGAUAGUCAUGUCACAAGCUAUGUCCUGUCUUUGCCAUCCACUGUUGUGAAAUACUUCUCUUUCCUGGAGAAAAUGGCAUUCAGAUGGUGCCACAGCACCUAUCUUAGUGAAAUUAAUGUAUCAACAUGCUGUUGUUGUUGUUGUUAUGACUGAUGAUUAAUAAUUCCUACAAUAAUAAUUAAUGACAAUAACUAAUUGCUGCUAACAGCUGCUUACCACGUUGGUUCACUUUGGAUUUGCAUGGAAGGGAGAUUUUAACCCGCUCCUUGUCCUCAAUUACAAAUUUACACUCCAGUCUGUAGUGUGGUAAGCUGCCACUUGCAAGGUGGAAACUUCUUGGCUGGCAAGUGACAAAAUGCACAAGAAGGAUGUGCUACACUUUUGAGAGGAAUAUACAGCCUGCUCACGUGAGAGUAACUAAACCCCAUGAGUUCAAAAUGAAUUAGUGCACAGAAAGUUGUUGAUUUCUGCCCCUACAGCUGACUAAGGGCUUCCACAAUCCCAAAUUGCAUCCCAGAGUAAAAAAACCUGCACAUGGUACCUAUGUCUGCAGCAUUUACACAAUCUGAGAUGUGACAGCAGACAUUUGCAAACCCCACUGCUUUUGCUGUUCCUCAUAAGAGGAAAAGAAAAAAUUCAUGAUCAUUCCAAACAGCUUAAUAUUUUUAGACAAUCAAGUUUUUCUUUCAAGGUUCACUUGGAAUUCUACUCCUGUACAUUGCAGCAGCUUUUUUCUGACGCUUCUGUUAAAAUCCAAAGACAGCUCCUAUCCAAGAAUAAUUUCAGUUUCUGAGUUACAGACAUUUUCUCUACACAGUAGAGCAAUGAAUCAAAGUAUUUAAAUUCAGACUGCUGUAAUAUUUCACAGUCCUGCCAGAGACAGAAACACAGUACCCAAACUGUAAACAGCUCUGUUUCCUUGCAGGCCUGUUAAACAUCAUACAAGCACUUACAUCUCUAUUUAACAUUGGAUCCCAUAGAACGAACCACAGAUGUAAACCUACGUUGUGCAUAAGCAUUUUCAGAGCUGAAAUUUGGUUAUUUAACUUCAAAAGUGCAUGUAUUUUAGGUGAGCUCUUGACCAUCAUGGAGCAGAAUUUUUUUGUAUGUAUUUUUCCUUCAAAGGAAAAUAAAGCUCCACUUUUUUUUUUCCUUUUUAUCUCCCCUUUUUUAAGUAACAAAACAAAGAAGGUAUGGCAACACCAGGCUAUUUAGAAAUCUAGGCCAGGAAAAUCUACUGGAUAGCUUAGCUGCUUUCUGAAUUGCAUUUCAUCAGAUUACUAGUAUUAGUAUUAGUAUUAGUAUUAGUAUUAGUAUUAGUAUAUUAGCUACUCUAGGCAAGUAGCCAAAUGGGGAUCUUAGCAAGUUAAGUUUCAAAUAUUCUCAAGAGCACAGAUAACUCAUGGAAUAUUUUUAUCCUGGAAUUAUCAAUUUUACUUCACUGUAACACAAUUUACCAAAAAAAAAAAAAAAAAAAAAAAAAAA
Molecule: long non-coding RNA, 3640 nt
Filed under: Taeniopygia guttata (zebra finch)
Lineage: Eukaryota; Metazoa; Chordata; Aves; Passeriformes; Estrildidae
Description: lncRNA (ENSTGUG00000027503.1)
Source: RNAcentral